UACGGAGGGUGCAAGCGUUAUCCGGAUUCACUGGGUUUAAAGGGUGCGUAGGUGGGCAGGUAAGUCAGUGGUGAAAUCUCCGGGCUUAACCCGGAAACUGCCGUUGAUACUAUUUGUCUUGAAUGUUGUGGAGGUAAGCGGAAUAUGUCAUGUAGCGGUGAAAUUCGCAGAUAUUGGGAAGAACACCGGUGGCGAAGGCGACCAACUGGUCCGACAUUGACACUGAGGCACGAAGGCGUGGGUAGCAAACAGG
This 253-nucleotide ribosomal RNA is filed under the name uncultured bacterium. RNAcentral describes it as "partial 16S ribosomal RNA". It matches the Rfam family "Bacterial small subunit ribosomal RNA", at positions 524 to 776 of the family's 1533-position model. The record is from RNAcentral.